CCUACGGGUGGCAGCAGUGAGGAAUAUUGGUCAAUGGACGAGAGUCUGAACCAGCCAAGUAGCGUGAAGGAUGACUGCCCUAUGGGUUGUAAACUUCUUUUAUAUGGGAAUAAAAUGUUCCACGUGUGGGAUUUUGUAUGUACCAUAUGAAUAAGGAUCGGCUAACUCCGUGCCAGCAGCCGUGGUAAUACGGAGGAUCCGAGCGUUCUCCGGAUUUAUUGGGUUUAAAGGGAGCGUAGGUGGAUUGUUAAGUCAGUUGUGAAAGUUUGCGGCUCAACCGUAAAAUUGCAGUUGAAACUGGCAGUCUUGAGUACAGUAGAGGUGGGCGGAAUUCGUGGUGUAGCGGUGAAAUGCUUAGAUAUCACGAAGAACUCCGAUUGCGAAGGCAGUUCACUGGACUGCAACUGACACUGAGGCUCGAAAGUGUGGGUAUCAAACAGGAUUAGAUACCCCAGUAGUC
Molecule: ribosomal RNA, 460 nt
Filed under: uncultured bacterium
Lineage: Bacteria
Description: partial 16S ribosomal RNA
Rfam family: Bacterial small subunit ribosomal RNA
Source: RNAcentral